UCUUUGAAAUCGACAGCAACGUCUCCUAUGUGAGCAAGCCACCAACACCACAAACACGAUCAAGAUCAAAAGGGGGCAAGUCUGUCACUGUCCAUGUGACAAAGAGACGUGGACAGUCCCAGUUAAAGGCAGGAAAACAACACAAAGAGUGAGAGAAGGCAAAGGAGGAGAAAGGUGAGAGGGUAGGACUUAAAGCAACACAUUAACGCAAGACAUUAUCAGCCCCCUCUCUGCUUAUAUGUGCAUCAAUCUCAUGACACAGUCUCAAAGGAGAGUUCCCUGCUCUAAACUCUGAAUUAGGUGGUUAACACCUCUGCAGCAGUUUGUUUUCUUCACACAGGAGUUGAAGGUGACAGCUGUGGACUGUCAGCAGUAUAGACUCCGAUCGUCACCUCAUUCAGCCUUUCUGUCUGCGAACACAAACCAAGAUAAGACAAGGUCUCUGUUGGUUGAUACUCAUUUUUCAUCUCCCAUG
RNA transcript from Larimichthys crocea (large yellow croaker), 475 nucleotides. RefSeq lists it as uncharacterized. The transcript is spliced from 3 exons. NCBI's taxonomy places the organism in Eukaryota, Metazoa, Chordata, Actinopteri, Sciaenidae. The record is from RefSeq and is a predicted model, not a curated record.